CGCGGCCUAUCAGCUUGUUGGUGGGGUGAUGGCCUACCAAGGCGACGACGGGUAGCCGGCCUGAGAGGGUGUCCGGCCACACUGGGACUGAGAUACGGCCCAGACUCCUACGGGAGGCAGCAGUGGGGAAUAUUGCACAAUGGGCGCAAGCCUGAUGCAGCGACGCCGCGUGAGGGAUGACGGCCUUCGGGUUGUAAACCUCUUUCAGUAUCGACGAAGCGCAAGUGACGGUAGGUACAGAAGAAGCACCGGCCAACUACGUGCCAGCAGCCGCGGUAAUACGUAGGGUGCGAGCGUUGUCCGGAAUUACUGGGCGUAAAGAGCUCGUAGGUGGUUCGUCGCGUUGUUCGUGAAAACUCACAGCUCAACUGUGGGCGUGCGGGCGAUACGGGCAGACUGGAGUACUGCAGGGGAGACUGGAAUUCCUGGUGUAGCGGUGGAAUGCGCAGAUAUCAGGAGGAACACCGGUGGCGAAGGCGGGUCUCUGGGCAGUAACUGACGCUGAGGAGCGAAAGCGUGGGGAGCGAACAGGAUUAGAUACCCUGGUAGUCCACGCCGUAAACGGUGGGUACUAGGUGUGGGUUUCCUUCCUUGGGAUCCGUGCCGUAGCUAACGCAUUAAGUACCCCGCCUGGGGAGUACGG
RNAcentral lists this ribosomal RNA (643 nucleotides) under uncultured bacterium. RNAcentral's name for it is "bacterial SSU rRNA". It matches the Rfam family "Bacterial small subunit ribosomal RNA", at positions 232 to 885 of the family's 1533-position model. The record is from RNAcentral.